This 244-nucleotide ribosomal RNA is filed under the name uncultured bacterium. Its description in RNAcentral is "partial 16S ribosomal RNA". It matches the Rfam family "Bacterial small subunit ribosomal RNA", at positions 110 to 353 of the family's 1533-position model. The record is from RNAcentral.
GUAAUGUCUGGGAAACUGCCUGAUGGAGGGGGGAGUAACUACUGGAAACGGUAGCUAAUACCGCAUAACGUCGCAAGACCAAAGAGGGGGACCUUCGGGCCUCUUGCCAUCGGAUGUGCCCAGAUGGGAUUAGCUAGUAGGUGGGGUAACGGCUCACCUAGGCGACGAUCCCUAGCUGGUCUGAGAGGAUGACCAGCCACAUUGGAACUGAGACACGGUCCAGACUCCUACGGGAGGCAGCAUG